GUGGGAUGAAAACUUGAUCUGAAGUCUAAGUUGUUAACGGAUACGAUAUGGGAAGGUUGAGCUGCUGUUUAUCUGUUCCUAGAGAUGCUAGAAUUCUGGAGAAUUUUAUCUUUGAAAAUCUUUAAAAUGUUGCAUGAUGAGUUCCUGUAUGAUGAGAGUUUAAAUUCCUACCACAGCCAUAUAUACAUGCUUAUUAGACUUUGAGCCACACAUUUACUAUUUACUGCUUAUGAGCAUUGAGUGUGGUCAAGCUGUGUAGACCCUUAGGAGCUUGUCAUGUGGUUAAAUCAAGAUUUCACUUGCACGUCCACUCAUAUAUGCUACUUCUAUUCCGGAAGUACCAUCUACAUAUAUCCAUCCAUUUCUAUCUCCAGAACCACUCAAAAAUAUUCUACUCCUAAUCCGGGAGAGAAUAACCAAAAAUAUUUCUGUCUUUC
RNAcentral lists this long non-coding RNA (437 nucleotides) under Sorghum bicolor (sorghum). Its description in RNAcentral is "long non-coding RNA (SBIC_LNC014310)". The record is from RNAcentral. Lineage: Eukaryota; Viridiplantae; Streptophyta; Magnoliopsida; Poales; Poaceae.